This is a long non-coding RNA of Helianthus annuus (common sunflower), 388 nucleotides long. RefSeq lists it as uncharacterized. The record is from RefSeq and is a predicted model, not a curated record. NCBI's taxonomy places the organism in Eukaryota, Viridiplantae, Streptophyta, Magnoliopsida, Asterales, Asteraceae. The transcript has 3 exons.
AAAAGUUCUAAUACGUGUUCAGGAUUGUACUGGGAUUGUUACUUUGACGUUGUUUGAACGUGAAGUUGUUAAACUGAUAAAGGUUAACGCAAACCAGCUGUUGGAUAAAAACAUGGAGUUAGCCAGCGAAGGUAACUUUCCCAAGGAGCUGAAGGCAUUGCUAAAUAGGAGGUUUGCGUUUAAGAUAGCCAUAGGUUAAUUUAACAUAAAAAAACAAAUCAGAUGGCUACUCGGUGUCGAAGUUGACUGAAAAUCCUGCAAUCAUCAAAGAUCUUGAUAGGCAUUUUGAUGCUUUCCAGUCUGCUGAUGAUGAACCUUUAAAUGUUGUUCCUUCUGAUUCAAAUCCAACUGUUAACAUCCAAAUCCGGGUCUGUGAAACAAAUUCUUU